Molecule: ribosomal RNA, 253 nt
Filed under: uncultured bacterium
Lineage: Bacteria
Description: partial 16S ribosomal RNA
Rfam family: Bacterial small subunit ribosomal RNA
Source: RNAcentral
UACAGAGACUGCAAGCGUUAUUCGGAUUCACUGGGCGUAAAGGGUGCGCAGGCGGUUGUGUGUGUCAGGUGUGAAAGCCCGGGGCUUAACCCCGGAAUUGCGCCUGAAACUACAUGACUAGAGCAUUGGAGAGGGUAGCAGAAUUCACGGUGUAGCAGUGAAAUGCGUAGAUAUCGUGAGGAACACCAGAGGCGAAGGCGGCUACCUGGACAAUUGCUGACGCUCAGGCACGAAAGCGUGGGGAGCAAAAGGG